RNAcentral lists this ribosomal RNA (305 nucleotides) under uncultured bacterium. Its description in RNAcentral is "bacterial SSU rRNA". It matches the Rfam family "Bacterial small subunit ribosomal RNA", at positions 333 to 635 of the family's 1533-position model. The record is from RNAcentral.
AUCGCCCUACGGGGGGCAGCAGUGAGGAAUAUUGGUCAAUGGGCGAGAGCCUGAACCAGCCAAGUCGCGUGAGGGAGUACUGCCCUAUGGGUUGUAAACCUCUUUUGUCAGGGAGCAAUUGGCGCUACGUGUAGCGUUAUCGAGAGUACCUGAAGAAAAAGCAUCGGCUAACUCCGUGCCAGCAGCCGCGGUAAUACGGAGGAUGCGAGCGUUAUCCGGAUUUAUUGGGUUUAAAGGGUGCGUAGGCGGAAUGCCAAGUCAGCGGUAAAAUCGCGGGGCUCAACCUCGCUCCGCCGUUGAAACUG